GACGAACGCUGGCGGCGUGCUUAACACCUGCAAGUCGAACGGUGAAGCGCCUUCCUUUUUGGUGGGUGUGGAUGAGUGGCGAACGGGUGAGUAACACGUGAGUAACCUGCCCCCUUCUUCUGGAUAACCGCAUGAAAGUGUGGCUAAUACGGGAUAUUCUGGGUCUGUCGCAUGAUGGGUCUGGGAAAGAUAUUGUUUCGGUGGGGGAUGGGCUCGCGGCCUAUCAGCUUGUUGGUGGGGUGAUGGCCUACCAAGGCGGUGACGGGUAGCCGGCCUGAGAGGGUGGACGGUCACACUGGGACUGAGACACGGCCCAGACUCCUACGGGAGGCAGCAGUGGGGAAUAUUGCACAAUGGGCGCAAGCCUGAUGCAGCGACGCCGCGUGAGGGAUGGAGGCCUUCGGGUUGUGAACCUCUUUCGCCAGUGAAGCAGGCCUGCCUCGUUUGUGGGUGGGUUGACGGUAGCUGGAUAAGAAGCGCCGGCUAACUACGUG
RNAcentral lists this ribosomal RNA (494 nucleotides) under uncultured bacterium. RNAcentral describes it as "partial 16S ribosomal RNA". It matches the Rfam family "Bacterial small subunit ribosomal RNA", at positions 28 to 507 of the family's 1533-position model. The record is from RNAcentral.